Molecule: long non-coding RNA, 241 nt
Organism: Panicum virgatum (switchgrass)
Lineage: Eukaryota; Viridiplantae; Streptophyta; Magnoliopsida; Poales; Poaceae
Exons: 2
Source: RefSeq, a predicted model, not a curated record
AAUGGGCGAUGAGUGGCUUAAUGACUUGGCUUUGUGCUACAUUGAGAAGGCGAUUUUUAGAGCACUUGAUCCGGAGAAAAUUAAGAGGACUUUUCAAUCCAUGAAAGAUCGGAAGAUGAGUUUUCCACAUCAAAAGCGGCCUCGAAGUCCUUAGUGCUUUAGGAAAGGUUCUGUACUUCAUUUGUCUAUUGAAACAUCUAUUAUUGAUACUUCCAUUAUUAAAAGGUAACAUCUUGAUUCU